GAGUUUGAUCCUGGCUCAGAUUGAACGCUGGCGGCAUGCCUUACACAUGCAAGUCGAACGGCAGCACGGGAGCUUGCUCCUGGUGGCGAGUGGCGAACGGGUGAGUAAUGCAUCGGAACGUAUCCUGGAGUGGGGGAUAACGUAGCGAAAGUUACGCUAAUACCGCAUAUUCUGUGAGCAGGAAAGCGGGGGACCUUCGGGCCUCGCGCUCUUGGAGCGGCCGAUGUCGGAUUAGCUAGUUGGUGAGGUAAAGGCUCACCAAGGCGACGAUCCGUAGCAGGUCUGAGAGGAUGAUCUGCCACACUGGAACUGAGACACGGUCCAGACUCCUACGGGAGGCAGCAGUGGGAUUUGGACAAUGGGGGCAACCCUGAUCCAGCCAUGCCGCGUGAGUGAGGAAGGCCUCGGUUGUAA
This 414-nucleotide ribosomal RNA is filed under the name bacterium enrichment culture clone ALO1_GLFRUDD03FNDE1. Its description in RNAcentral is "bacterial SSU rRNA". It matches the Rfam family "Bacterial small subunit ribosomal RNA", at positions 9 to 428 of the family's 1533-position model. The record is from RNAcentral.